AGUUCGGAUUGCAGUCUGCAACUCGAGUGCAUGAAGCUGGAAUCGCUAGUAAUCGCGGAUCAGAAUGCCGCGGUGAAUACGUUCCCGGGUCUUGUACACACCGCCCGUCACACCAUGGGAGUCGGGAAUGCCCGAAGCCGGUGGCCCAAUCGAAAGAAGGGAGCCGUCGAAGGCAGGCCGGAUGACUGGGGUGAAGUCGUAACAAGGUACC
Molecule: ribosomal RNA, 211 nt
Filed under: uncultured bacterium
Lineage: Bacteria
Description: partial 16S ribosomal RNA
Rfam family: Bacterial small subunit ribosomal RNA
Source: RNAcentral